CUGCUGACCCUUGUUGUGGACGGACUGCCGAUGCAGAAAUUAGGGUAAGUUGUUCUUGUAGCUGUUGAAGUCUUGGUGAAGUGGUGAAGGUCCAUUUGAGGACUACCUUGGGAGUUAUCGAGCAGAGGUUGUUGGAUUGGGAGCUACUGAAUUUCUGUUAAAACCUCAUGGACUCUAUUUCGAGGCGGGCA
This is a long non-coding RNA of Zingiber officinale, 191 nucleotides long. RefSeq lists it as uncharacterized. The record is from RefSeq and is a predicted model, not a curated record. NCBI's taxonomy places the organism in Eukaryota, Viridiplantae, Streptophyta, Magnoliopsida, Zingiberales, Zingiberaceae. The transcript has 4 exons.